This 497-nucleotide ribosomal RNA is filed under the name uncultured bacterium. Its description in RNAcentral is "partial 16S ribosomal RNA". It matches the Rfam family "Bacterial small subunit ribosomal RNA", at positions 28 to 507 of the family's 1533-position model. The record is from RNAcentral.
GAUGAACGCUGGCGGCGUGCCUAAUACAUGCAAGUCGAGCGAACAGACGAUGAGCUUGCUCCUCAGACGUUAGCGGCGGACGGGCGAGUAACACGUGGAUAACCUACCUAUAAGACUGGGAUAACUUCGGGACACCGGAGCUAAUACCGGAUAAUAUAUUGAACCGCAUGGUUCAAUAGUGAAAGACGGUUUUGCGGUCACUCAUAGAUGGAUCCGCGCCGCAUUAGCUAGUUGGUAAGGUAACGGCUUACCAAGGCAACGAUGCGUGACCGACCUGAGAGGGUGAUCGGCCACACUGGAACUGAGACACGGUCCAGACUCCUACGGGAGGCAGAAGUAGGGAAUCUUCCGCAAUGGGCGAAAGCCUGACGGAGCAACGCCGCUGGAGUGAUGAAGGUCUUCGGAUCGUAAAACUCUGUUAUUAGGGAAGAACAAAUGUGUAAGUAACUAUGCACGUCUUGACGGUACCUAAUCAGAAAGCCACGGCUAACUACGUG